Molecule: non-coding RNA, 1614 nt
Organism: Solanum lycopersicum (tomato)
Lineage: Eukaryota; Viridiplantae; Streptophyta; Magnoliopsida; Solanales; Solanaceae
Source: RefSeq, a predicted model, not a curated record
AGUUCAAACAAAACAAAGAAAAGUAGUACAUUGUUGGCCCAAAACCUAAUUUGAUCCUUCUUCUCUUUCCACUUUUUUCAGUUCUCCAUUUCUGCAUCUUUAUCCGCCGCCCUUGAUGUUCUUCAAUGAUGAAGACUGUUGAAAAAUUCAGUUGUCAAAGGUGUACUAUCCGGUAAGAGUUCUUGUCAAGCUCUCAAAAGGGUGUGAGCCUAGUAUUCAGCUUUGUAGAUCUUUAUUUUGUUAUUUUGCUUGGUGUCGGAGAGUUUAUUAUAUGACCGUGUCUGUUUUUACGAUCUUUGCAAUGUCAGAGUGCUUAGAGGUUGUUUAAUGAAGAAGUAUUGGAGGCAAAGAUAAUUGAAUUUUAUGGACUACUUAAGGUAAUAUACUUAUACUAUAGCUUGAUGGAUGGAAUAUUUUACGCAAAUGUGUUGUUGGAAAUGACAAUUGAUGCCUAUGGACUACCUAAGUUGCCUCCACUUAGUGAAAAUAUGGCGGAUACGGUAGCACAUGCUCGAACGGCUACGCAGACUGCUCUUGAAACCACUGACACUACCCCGGUCAAGUCUAUCCCGAGUAGUAGCACUGCCCCUACCUCCUCUCGCUCAUCCCCGUUCCCCGCUUUGGUCCCGCUUGUUAGAGUCCAGAGACUAGAGGUUCAGAUGGCCACACUUCUGCAUCACAUCCAUCCUUGGAUGCAAAGGUCUCUUGCUGAGGCGGAGGAGCGCUUGGAGCGUAAAAUGGUCUAGCACUUGAAGCGGAAGAUCGCUGAGGUUCAUCAGCGCUUAGACGCUUUUGAGUUGCGGGUGCUAGCCCGGCCUGCCCCUCAGGUGGACGUGUCGACCCUUCAGGCUGCGGUUGAGAGUCUGCGAGAAGAUAUUGAUAUGAUCCUAGAGGCUAGGGUACUUGAGUCUGAAGCCCCUUCUGCAGAGCCUGCUGAGGAUACAGUGAUGACUGCCUUAUUCGCCACUUCUGAGAUUCCAUCACCUCCUCCUCGAGAGCAUGCCAAGAGGCGUAGGGGUCGAGAGGAGUAUGAUGCUAGAGCACAGAAGAAGGAGCGCCGUGAGAUGGAGGCUGCGAGGAGAGCCUUGCUUGCUGAUGAGGAGGCGCAUCGGAUCAGAGUUGCAGAGUCGGCUGCUGGGGCAUCUAGCUCCAAAGAUGUGGAGACAGUAGGAGGCACUACUGAUAGUGCUGUUGCUGAUGAGGACACUAUUGAGGGUGUUCAUACUACAUAUGAAAUGGGUUUCGGGGACUCGGACGCACCAGCUUGCUGAUCGCCAGUGCUUUGCGCCCCAGUGACUGGUAAUGUAAGUAGCUGUAUUUGCUAAAUGUUUUAGCGACGAAAUGAAUGUCCCAUCGAUCCCUUUCAGAAGUGAAUAUCUUCGCUCAAUGUAUGCAACAAGAAUGAUGAUCCUACAAGGCUAAAUGGUGUCUUCUUCAUUACAUUGUCAGAUGAUGAACUGAAUAAUGUAGAAUAAUAGUAAAAAUACCCCCAAGUGUUUUGGAUUAUUUCUUUCCAGGUUAACAUUAUAUUUAUAAGUAAUUCAUACUUCUAAAUUUGAAGAGUUUUUAUGUCGCUUUUAAAUUCGUUUUCAAUACAUUUUAAUACGUUAUUAA